UGUUUAACGGCCGCGGUAUUUUAACCGCGCGAAGGUAGCGUAAUCACUUGUCUUUUAAAUGGAGACCUGUAUGAAUGGCAUAACGAGGGUUUGACUGUCUCCUCCACCCAGUCAAUGAAAUUGAUCUGCCCGUGCAGAAGCGGGCAUAAGCACAUAAGACGAGAAGACCCUAUGGAGCUUUAGGCAAAUGACCAGGCAAAACAAGUCACGGCCCUUAAUAAGCCUAGAAAAACAAAAGCUAAUGAUCAAAAUGCCUUCGGUUGGGGCGACCAUGGAGGAAACAAAAUCCUCCAAGCGGAAAGGGACAACCCUUGAACCAAGAGAGACACCUCGAAGUAACAGAAUUUAUGACCAACUAUGACCCAGGAUUUAACCUGAUCAACGGACCUAGUUACCCUAGGGAUAACAGCGCAAUCCUCUCCCAGAGUCCCUAUCGACGAGGGGGUUUACGACCUCGAUGUUGGAUCAGGACAUCCUAAUGGUGCAGCCGCUAUUAAGGGUUCGUUUGUUCAACGAUUAA
RNAcentral lists this ribosomal RNA (520 nucleotides) under Gymnothorax buroensis. Its description in RNAcentral is "partial 16S rRNA". It matches the Rfam family "Bacterial large subunit ribosomal RNA", at positions 1921 to 2591 of the family's 2925-position model. The record is from RNAcentral. Lineage: Eukaryota; Metazoa; Chordata; Actinopteri; Anguilliformes; Muraenidae.